RNAcentral lists this ribosomal RNA (253 nucleotides) under uncultured bacterium. RNAcentral describes it as "partial 16S ribosomal RNA". It matches the Rfam family "Bacterial small subunit ribosomal RNA", at positions 524 to 776 of the family's 1533-position model. The record is from RNAcentral.
UACAGAGGGGGCGAGCGUUGUUCGGAAUUACUGGGCGUAAAGCGCACGUAGGCGGCUUUGUAAGUUAGAGGUGAAAGCCCAGGGCUCAACCCUGGAAUUGCCUUUAAGACUGCAUCGCUAGAAUUGUGGAGAGGUAAGUGGAAUUCCGAGUGUAGAGGUGAAAUUCGUAGAUAUUCGGAAGAACACCAGUGGCGAAGGCGACUUACUGGACACAUAUUGACGCUGAGGUGCGAAAGCGUGGGGAGCAAACAGG